This 91-nucleotide microRNA precursor is filed under the name Ursus americanus (American black bear). RNAcentral's name for it is "let-7 microRNA precursor family". It matches the Rfam family "let-7 microRNA precursor family". Rfam says of the family: This family represents the microRNAs (miRNA) let-7 and mir-98. let-7 was identified from a study of developmental timing in C. elegans, and was later shown to be part of a much larger class of non-coding RNAs termed miRNAs. Lineage: Eukaryota; Metazoa; Chordata; Mammalia; Carnivora; Ursidae. The record is from Rfam by way of RNAcentral. RNAcentral also lists the same sequence under 2 other names.
CCGGGGUGAGGUAGUAAGUUGUAUUGUUGUGGGGUGUAGGGAUUUUAGGCCCCAAUUAGAAGAUAACUAUACAACUUACUACUUUCCCUAG